CGAACACUAACCACACAAGAAUAUACGAAAUAAUCAGUCAGUGCAAACAAGAGCUCUCACCGGAGCAUCUCCAACACAGACCACCACCCUGGCGGGGGUCCUGAGCGCACCUACCACAAGCACCACACCACAAAAGAAUGGCAAGGGGGAAGAACCUCCAGACCACCCCCGACAGAAAUCACAACCCCAGAUACAAAGAGCAAAUAACCACUCACGACAAAGCCAACAGAGGCUACCCACCACACACCACACACAGAACAGGGAACACCUACCGAGACCUUGACCAACACACUACCUACCCUAGGUGACAGCCCAAGUAGAAUCAAACAAAAAGCCCAUGGGAAGGUCCACAGUCGACCUCAGGCCAGAAUUGCCAAAUCACCAGG
Molecule: non-coding RNA, 386 nt
Organism: Pelobates cultripes (western spadefoot toad)
Lineage: Eukaryota; Metazoa; Chordata; Amphibia; Anura; Pelobatidae
Source: the annotation of a GenBank genome assembly